AGACGAUGGCGGAGGCUUAACACAUGCAAGUCGAACGAUAUAGUGGCAGACGGGUGAGUAACGCGUGGAAACGUGCCUUUCACUACGGAAUAGCUUUUGGAAACGAAAGGUAAUACCGUAUACGCCCUCCGGGGGAAAGAUUUAUCGGUGAAAGAUCGGUCCGCGUUAGAUUAGCUAGUUGGUAAGGUAACGGCUUACCAAGGCUACGAUCUAUAGCUGGUCUGAGAGGAUGAUCAGCCACACUGGGACUGAGACACGGCCCAGACUCCUACGGGAGGCAGCAGUGGGGAAUAUUGCACAAUGGGCGCAAGCCUGAUGCAGCCAUGCCGCGUGAAUGAUGAAGGCCUUAGGGUUGUAAAAUUCUUUCGCCAGGGAUGAUAAUGACAGUACCUGGUAAAGAAGCCCCGGCUAACUUCGUGCCAGCAGCCGCGGUAAUACGAAGGGGGCUAGCGUUGUUCGGAAUUACUGGGCGUAAAGCGCACGUAGGCGGACUAUUAAGUCAGAUGUGAAAUCCCGAGGCUCAACCUCGGAACUGCAUUUGAAACUGGUAGUCUAGAGAUCAGGAGAGGUUAGUGGAAUACCGAGUGUAGAGGUGAAAUUCGUAGAUAUUCGGUGGAACACCAGUGGCGAAGGCGACUAACUGGACUGAUACUGACGCUGAGGUGCGAAAGUGUGGGGAGCAAACAGGAUUAGAUACCCUGUAGUCCACACCGUAAACGAUGAGUGCUAGUUGUCAGCAAGCAUGCCUGUUGGUGACGCAGCUAACGCAUUAAUCACUCCGGCCUGGGGGAGUACGGCCGCAAGGUUAAAACUCAAAAGAAUUGACGA
Molecule: ribosomal RNA, 828 nt
Filed under: uncultured bacterium
Lineage: Bacteria
Description: bacterial SSU rRNA
Rfam family: Bacterial small subunit ribosomal RNA
Source: RNAcentral